AACCAAAGUGUUGAGUUCAGGUCAGGGUGUUGCCCCUGUUCUGGUAAUUAAGCUUUGGGACAGCAAGUGUCUGAGAAGUGCACUGCGGUGGCUUGAAAGUUUGUUCUGUGCCACCUGUGUUUCUCAGCCUACAAAA
RNAcentral lists this small nucleolar RNA (136 nucleotides) under Apaloderma vittatum (bar-tailed trogon). The record is from RNAcentral. Lineage: Eukaryota; Metazoa; Chordata; Aves; Trogoniformes; Trogonidae.